AGUGAACGCUGGCGGUAGGCCUAACACAUGCAAGUCGAACGGCGGCACAGUAAGAGCUUGCUCUUACGGGUGGCGAGUGGCGGACGGGUGAGGAAUACAUCGGAAUCUACUUUUUCGUGGGGGAUAACGUAGGGAAACUUACGCUAAUACCGCAUACGACCUACGGGUGAAAGCAGGGGAUCUUCGGACCUUGCGCGAUUGAAUGAGCCGAUGUCGGAUUAGCUAGUUGGCGGGGUAAGGGCCCACCAAGGCGACGAUCCGUAGCUGGUCUGAGAGGAUGAUCAGCCACACUGGAACUGAGACACGGUCCAGACUCCUACGGGAGGCAGCAGUGGGGAAUAUUGGACAAUGGGCGCAAGCCUGAUCCAGCCAUACCGCGUGGGUGAAGAAGGCCUUCGGGUUGUAAAGCCCUUUUGUUGGGAAAGAAAAGCAGCAGGUUAAUACCCCGCUGUUCUGACGGUACCCAAAGAAUAAGCACCGGCUAACUUCGUG
RNAcentral lists this ribosomal RNA (492 nucleotides) under uncultured bacterium. RNAcentral's name for it is "partial 16S ribosomal RNA". It matches the Rfam family "Bacterial small subunit ribosomal RNA", at positions 29 to 507 of the family's 1533-position model. The record is from RNAcentral.